AGAAUCAACGCUGGCGGCGUGCCUAACACAUGCAAGUCGAACGCGAAAGCCCCGCAAGGGGUCAGUAGAGUGGCAAACGGGUGAGUAACACGUGGGUGAUCUGCCUCAGAGUGGGGGAUAACGACCCGAAAGGGUCGCUAAUACCGCAUAACAUCCUGCCUUUGGAUAGGUGGAGAUCAAAGUUGGGGAUCCGCAAGGACCUGACGCUUGGAGAGGAGCCCGCGGCCGAUUAGCUAGUUGGUGAGGUAACGGCUCACCAAGGCAACGAUCGGUA
RNAcentral lists this ribosomal RNA (274 nucleotides) under uncultured soil bacterium. RNAcentral's name for it is "partial 16S ribosomal RNA". It matches the Rfam family "Bacterial small subunit ribosomal RNA", at positions 26 to 285 of the family's 1533-position model. The record is from RNAcentral.